This 198-nucleotide ribosomal RNA is filed under the name uncultured bacterium. Its description in RNAcentral is "partial 16S ribosomal RNA". It matches the Rfam family "Bacterial small subunit ribosomal RNA", at positions 328 to 538 of the family's 1533-position model. The record is from RNAcentral.
ACGCUCGACACCUACGGAGGCAGCAGUGGGGAAUAUUGCACAAUGGGGGAAACCCUGAUGCAGCGACGCCGCGUGAGCGAAGAAGUAUUUCGGUAUGUAAAGCUCUAUCAGCAGGGAAGAAACUGACGGUACCUGACUAAGAAGCACCGGCUAAAUACGUGCCCGCAGCCGCGGUAAUCUGAGCGGGCGUGGCAAGGC